CCUACGGGUGGCUGCAGUGAGGAAUAUUGGUCAAUGGGCGGGAGCCUGAACCAGCCAAGUCGCGUGAGGGAAGACGGUCCUAUGGAUUGUAAACCUCUUUAGGCGGGGAGCAAUGCCGGGCACGCGUGCCCGGAGGGAGAGUACCCGCAGAAUAAGCAUCGGCUAACUCCGUGCCAGCAGCCGCGGUAAUACGGAGGAUGCGAGCGUUAUCCGGAUUUAUUGGGUUUAAAGGGUGCGCAGGCGGGAGAUCAAGUCAGCGGUAAAAUGUCGGGGCUCAACCCCGGCCGGCCGUUGAAACUGGUUUUCUAGAGUUGGAGAGAAGUAUGCGGAAUUCGUGGUGUAGCGGUGAAAUGCAUAGAUAUCACGAAGAACUCCGAUUGCGAAGGCAGCAUACCGGCUCCAUACUGACGCUGAGGCACGAAAGCGUGGGGAUCGAACAGGAUUAGAUACCCCAGUAGUC
Molecule: ribosomal RNA, 460 nt
Filed under: uncultured bacterium
Lineage: Bacteria
Description: partial 16S ribosomal RNA
Rfam family: Bacterial small subunit ribosomal RNA
Source: RNAcentral